AUUGAACGCUGGCGGCAUGCCUUACACAUGCAAGUCGAACGGCAGCACGGGAGCAAUCCUGGUGGCGAGUGGCGAACGGGUGAGUAAUAUAUCGGAACGUGCCCAGUCGUGGGGGAUAACGCAGCGAAAGCUGUGCUAAUACCGCAUACGAUCUAUGGAUGAAAGCGGGGGAUCGCAAGACCUCGCGCGAUUGGAGCGGCCGAUAUCAGAUUAGGUAGUUGGUGGGGUAAAAGCCCACCAAGCCGACGAUCUGUAGCUGGUCUGAGAGGACGACCAGCCACACUGGAACUGAGACACGGUCCAGACUCCUACGGGAGGCUG
This 321-nucleotide ribosomal RNA is filed under the name uncultured Pseudomonadota bacterium. Its description in RNAcentral is "bacterial SSU rRNA". It matches the Rfam family "Bacterial small subunit ribosomal RNA", at positions 30 to 351 of the family's 1533-position model. The record is from RNAcentral. Lineage: Bacteria; Pseudomonadati; Pseudomonadota.